GCGCUCCAAGAGGGCCCACGCAGGUUAAAUGGAAUGCGGCUAUUAAGGAGCCCUUUCACGGUGAAGAUUUGACAGCUAUACAGAGCCCCUUGUGUCUGAGGGUUGGGCAAGGGGAGUACAGAGACCGGCACACAGGGAACCAGAAACAUCCAUGGAACAAAUGGCUACAGAAAAACUGAGUGAAAAAGACUGUCCUGAUUUAUGAGAUUCCCUGGGUCUCCACUUGUUACUAUUAUCACCACUGGCAACACCACCACUGAUGAUGAUGAUGAUGAUGCAGGGAUCCCAGACCUUCUGCCACUGAUAGAUGAAGGGUAGGCAUGUGACCCCAUUUUGGUCAAUAAGAAAUGAGAUAAAGUCGGCUGGAAUCUUCUGGAAAAGGUGACACCUGGAAACUGCUACAACUAUUCUGCAACAAUAGCAACAGGUUCAGCAAAGGGCACAGCCAGUAAAUGAAAUUUUCCACCAGGACAAUAUAUCAUCACAAGAAGUAGAUGCGCUGGAAACUUACAAGCUUGCUCAAGAUGCGGACAAGGUGUGAAAUGGUAAAAAAUGAAAAGCAGAAGCAUCGUACAGUAAAUUUCAA
Long non-coding RNA from Mustela erminea (ermine), 586 nucleotides. RefSeq lists it as uncharacterized. The transcript is spliced from 6 exons. NCBI's taxonomy places the organism in Eukaryota, Metazoa, Chordata, Mammalia, Carnivora, Mustelidae. The record is from RefSeq and is a predicted model, not a curated record.